AAGGCACAUCUAUACAAUCCAAAAACAGCAUUGACUAUGAAUUCAAGGGUAAAAUCGUCUAUCGCCCUUUACAAGAUGGAGAUAUUGUCCUUGUGAAUUGUCAGCCUACACUUCACAAGCCUAGUAUUAUGGAAUAUGUAGUUCGAGUAUUAAAAGGGGAGAAAACUCCUUGUAUGCAUUAUGCAAAUUGCAGUUCCUACAAUGCUAUUGAUUAUGCUGAUGUGCUGAAGGUUAUUGAUCAUAACAUAUUUAUGUAAAAAAUCAAUACACCGAUGAUGAUCAGAAUACCAAUUUGGAUACAUCUAUGAGCAAUCAGUAGUGUCUUCAAUAUCAUGACUACUAAACAUCUAGAUCUAAUUGUUCUUAAUUAGUAACAACAAAACAUCUAUUAAAAAGGGAAGUAAGCAGAGGGAUAAGCCUAUACCAACAACAUGACUACUCCACUGUGUCGGGCUUAAAACCAAGUCUGAUCCAACAAAAGGAAGCACACUAGAGUCUUUUCUAGCAUUAUAAUUGAGCUAGGUCUCUAUCCAAGCAUAGAGAUUGUCACCUUAAUUUGGUA
This is a long non-coding RNA of Lactuca sativa (garden lettuce), 562 nucleotides long. RefSeq lists it as uncharacterized. The record is from RefSeq and is a predicted model, not a curated record. NCBI's taxonomy places the organism in Eukaryota, Viridiplantae, Streptophyta, Magnoliopsida, Asterales, Asteraceae.